UAAUCUAUCUAGGGCAGAUUAUCAUCUAAUAGUGAUAAACCCACACUUAACUGUCUAUAAUCAGUACCCAUUAUCGCAAGCCAACUAUAUCAGUUAAUAAUUAACACUAAUUUGGAGUUGAAA
Non-coding RNA from Populus trichocarpa (black cottonwood), 123 nucleotides. The record is from Rfam. Lineage: Eukaryota; Viridiplantae; Streptophyta; Magnoliopsida; Malpighiales; Salicaceae.